CCUACGGGCGUCAGCAGUGAGGAAUAUUGGUCAAUGGUCGGGAGACUGAACCAGCCAAGCCGCGUGAGGGAGGAAGGUACAGAGUAUCGUAAACCUCUUUUGUCAGGGAACAAAGACUGGGACGCGUCCCCGGAUGAGUGUACCUGAAGAAAAAGCAUCGGCUAACUCCGUGCCAGCAGCCGCGGUAAUACGGAGGAUGCGAGGGUUAUCCGGAUUUAUUGGGUUAAAGGGGUGCGCUGGCGGUCUGUUAAGUCAGCGGUCAAAGCCCGGGGCUCAACCCCGGCCCGCCGUUGAAACUGGCAGUCUCGAGUUGGAGAGAGGUAGGCGGAAUGCGCGGUGGAGCGGUGAAAUGCAUAGAUAUCGCGCAGAACUCCGAUUGCGAAGGCAGCAUGCCGGCUCCACACUGACGCUGAGGUACGAAAGCGUGGGUAUCGAACAGGAUUAGAUACCCGGGUAGUC
This 459-nucleotide ribosomal RNA is filed under the name uncultured bacterium. Its description in RNAcentral is "partial 16S ribosomal RNA". It matches the Rfam family "Bacterial small subunit ribosomal RNA", at positions 338 to 795 of the family's 1533-position model. The record is from RNAcentral.